GUCAGGAUGGCCGAGCGGUCUAAGGCGCCGUGUACUCAAGAUGGAGGCGUGGGUUCAAAUCCCACUUCUGACA
Silurus meridionalis is the source of this 73-nucleotide non-coding RNA. NCBI's taxonomy places the organism in Eukaryota, Metazoa, Chordata, Actinopteri, Siluriformes, Siluridae. The record is from the annotation of a RefSeq genome assembly.